This 508-nucleotide ribosomal RNA is filed under the name uncultured bacterium. RNAcentral describes it as "partial 16S ribosomal RNA". It matches the Rfam family "Bacterial small subunit ribosomal RNA", at positions 28 to 523 of the family's 1533-position model. The record is from RNAcentral.
GAUGAACGCUAGCUACAGGCUUAACACAUGCAAGUCGAGGGGAAACGACAUCGAAAGCUUGCUUUUGAUGGGCGUCGACCGGCGCACGGGUGAGUAACGCGUAUCCAACCUGCCCACCACUUGGGGAUAACCUUGCGAAAGUAAGACUAAUACCCAAUGAUAUCUCUAGAGGGCAUCAGAAAGAGAUUAAAGAUUUAUCGGUGAUGGAUGGGGAUGCGUCUGAUUAGCUUGUUGGCGGGGUAACGGCCUACCAAGGCUACGAUCAGUAGGGGUUCUGAGAGGAAGGUCCCCCACAUUGGAACUGAGACACGGUACAAACUCCUACGGGAGGCAGCAGUGAGGAAUAUUGGUCAAUGGACGCGAGUCUGAACCAGCCAAGUAGCGUGCAGGAUGACGGCCCUAUGGGUUGUAAACUGCUUUUAUAAGGGAAUAAAGUGAGUCUCGUGAGACUUUUUGCAUGUACCUUAUGAAUAAGGACCGGCUAAUUCCGUGCCAGCCGCCGCCGUAA